GUUAAAGUACUUGUAACCCAGUAGGGAAUUGGGUCCAAUUCUAUCUUUAUUUUUCUAUAGUUUCCUUAUUUAUCUAAUUUUCAUUUGUUAAUCAAUCUGUCAAUGACUUAUUUUACACACACAGUCCUUAUUUGUCAUAUCAACUAGAGCAAACUUAUGAUUGGUUAGAGGGAGUUAAGUCCCACCCUCUGUUUACGCAGAAGUCAGUGAGUUGCAGUGCGGGUAAAACAGCAGCGGUCGGAGUGGAUGAGAAAUAGAGAGUUAGAAGAGCGAUUAUUAACAUAUCCAUGAGAUAAAAUAGUCUUGUGAAGACGUCAGAGGUGUGCGAGGGUCCGUGAGCCAGGAGUAGUAGUACUUUUGGCAUUAUCGUCUUGGCUGGGUUUUUUUGAGAACAAGAGAACUGGAUCUGGAUUCUCCCUGUGGAUGGGAGAUGGCGAGCCCCCAGUGAGAUCUCUUCUUAACCUAAGGAGUGAGGAACCGAGACCUGAGAAGAGGACCUGGUAUCUUUUUUUGCUUCCACUCAAGUAUCAGUGUGGUAGGACCACCACACAUCCGACUACUUGAAUUUUUCCCCCUGACUUGACAUAAAACAUUGACUUGAGCGCGCUGACUGAUAUGGCAAAGACAUUAAAGGGACAUUACACUCUAAGUUCUGCUGAAAGACUGUGAAAUCUUGAGAUAUUGAUGAUAAUUGCACUGCAUUUUAUGUUCAUGUUUUAUAACUUGGUACAGUAAACUUACCUGAAACGUUCCUGGUGGCUCCAUUUACCUGUUUUGUCUGCCAUUCCCUUUUCAACCCUCCCAUUAUGAACCUAGCCCCUGGUCCAUAUAUUCUUUAUUCUUUACCCUGUAGCACCUAGUGGGUUACAUACUCAAUAACAGGUGGUGUGCCAUUGACAAGUUAAAGACUGAUGUGGCGAAAAUCUCAAUCAAGUGCGCCCUGUUCAGUGCGUUGGGACGUGCCCAGCGCACUUUAGUGGAUUCAUGGAAAUCUGGCCGGGCGCACCUGAACCGCAACUGGACAACUGGACAACCUGUGGAGAAAAAAAGAAGCGGAUGAAAGAAGGAAAUAGCAAAUAUUCAGGCUCUGAAUCUCCCAUCCCAGAUAGCAACUGACUCUGGACCGGGUCCGCCUCCAAACCGGCAGAUCCAUGUUACAGUCUCACCUGUUUUACAUCCCCGUGUCAGAUACGGACCGUAUACAGGCUGACGAGUGGGCGUGUCAAUCAGAUUCGCAAUCAGUCAGCAGAGUCAAAGUAGUUACGGGCCAGAACCAUAGAAACGAGCACACGAUUUUUUUUUUCUGUUUCCUUUUGUUCAGUCGUAUCAGACCAGACCAGGGAGAAGCAGGAGACCGUUGGCGGCUUUUCCUCCAGCCCUGGAAAAUUAUUUAUAAUCGUAAGGCGAACAAUGUUGUGGCAAAACAGUAUUUAAAGUGGUUUAAUGCUUCUAAACAUAAUUUCAGAAGGUUUUGACUUCCCAUUUAAGCUUGCUAAUAAUAUUAUAUCGGCAACGGCUAGCUUUUUAGCCGGGCUAGCUUACUUAACUAGCUAAGUUAGUUAGAAUUAAUAAUGAAUAAACAACUCUGUGUUUGUUAUUAGUGAUGUUACAACCAAUGUUGCCCACAACUUGCUUUUCAUCCGCAUCUUACUAUCUGUUAACGUUACGUUAGCUGCUCAUAGGAAUGUAGCCAGUAGCAUAUAGGCUAACGGUUAACCUUAAGGCAAACUGCUAACGCUAGUUUGAAACAGCACCAUUUGACAGCACAACCUGUCUCUAUUUCAGGUUCAGGUUCCCCCAGAAGUUUUUUUUUUUUUCCUGCUUUGAUUUCCCCAUCAUUACAGUAAUUUUCAAAUCCAGGCUAUAAGUUAGUUAAAGUUUUGUAAUCUUAUUGGAUAAGUAACGUAAAGAAGUUAAAAAUUUCAUCUUAAGUUAGCUGUAAUUCAUUGUAUGAUCGCUGUGUAAUAAGUUGUGUAAUGCGCUGCAAUAUGUAUUACCACUGAAAAGCAUAUUGUAUUUGGUUGUUCAUUUAGUUGUUGUGACUAGCUAAGAGAGAGGUUCACUCACCUCUGUACUUGUAACGUUAGUCAAUUUGUUCGUGGUGUUGUGUUGAAUUGCUCUGGCACAGACUGAACAAAAAUUGAACUUCAUGGCCACUGGUUUCACAGCAGUAACCUGCGUGUGGCGAUUCUGAUGUGAACACAGUGUAAAUGCAUUAUGUUACUCAUAAACUUACAGUACAUGACAUUUUAAGCUUAAGUACAGUUGAUCGGUGUGCAAUACUGAGCAUUUUGAAAUUUGAAUGGAGUUUGUACUGUAUACAGGUGCUGUUAUAAAUACAAUGGGACUGAAUGGGCCUCCGUGGACAUUAAUACAUUAUAUAAUUCACAAACUACACGUCAUCUUUAUGAGCUCAAGUAGAGUUAAAUAGUGUGCAAUAAUGAGUAUUUUGAAAUUUGAAUGGAGUUGGUAACAAAUAACAAAUUUCAUAUUUAGGCUAAGCUUUUUAUUACCAAGUGUUUUCUGUCACAUGUCUGUCAGGGGUUAGUGAAAUUUUACAGAUUAAGUUAUGUAAAACUGUGAUGAGGUUCAUGAUAUAUUAGUACACUGAGAUAGCUGGUAGAGGUAGCUUGUUCUUUUUAAUUUGCCCCACCUUUUGUCUUGUUUCUGCCAGCUUUGCACAUACAACCAUUUGGGGUUGGUUUCACAAACAAAUAGUUUGACUAUGGCUUAGAGCAAACUAAUAGUCACACUUCAGAUAGACUUCUAAAUUCAUAUGUUGCACAAAGCUGUCUAGUUCUUAAUUGUUUUAAGAUGGACUAAUUUGCUAUUGAAUCUGGGUAAAUUUAGACUUUUUUGAAACUAAAUAACAUGACUGAUUAUUGAGCAACCCUGUCAAACCACUCAGCUCUGUUCACUCCAGUAGAAAAUAUUUGUCUUCUGGAAGAAUUUAAAGUUACAAGGACAAUUGACUGUGAAAAUUCUGUGAAGAUUGCAACAAUACAAAAAACUUACAGUAGCAUAAAGUCUCAAGGCAGUGUAAAUCCGUAGCAGAGGUGAGCUGCUGUGGCUUCUUAAUGUGGCAGGGAUCAGAACCUCUUCCAACUCGCCAGACUCAGGAUAGUUUUCAAAUGAAAAUGACUGAUGAUGUCCACACUGCUGUAUAUUUCCAACAGGUUACUAAACUCUCUAAAAACUCUUUCCCUCCUCAUUGGUCACUUCACAAAAAUGUUAACAAACCAAAAUUUAUGACACAUAUUUUCCUCUUUUUUGUCAUGUGGUGCCACUGGUCAGAAGUUGUCACUGAUUGUUACCAUGGAAACACUAGUCUGUUACCAUGGGUCUUAGUUCUGAGUUAGCCUUGGGAUAGGGUGUAGGGGUGUGCCCAAAUAAAAAUACAUUAUUCGGCAAAGCACAAAUAGUGUUUUCUUUGUUUGUUUGUUUUUGGUUUUGUUUUUAACGAAUAUUUGUUUCAUACAAAUAUUUUAAAACAUGUCAAAUAUAAGCAGCCUUAAAGGUCUUUAUUUUUGGAAAACUGUCUAGCUUACCAUCAGACCACAUGAGACCAAUGUGAAACUAGAGGUCUAUAAGUUACAUAUUGGUUGUAUAUUGUAGAGCUUUUUUACUUUUUCCAUAUUUUUUUUGAUCACUUAUUUGAAUCUUCAGUUCAUUUUCAAAAGCUUGUUGUAGGGGACCUUACAGUAAAAUAUUUUUUUGGCAUAAUCAUAUUGGUCUGUAGACAAUACUGUAAUUCUGGAGGUGAUAUCAGAUUCAAUAUGUUGGUGAAUGUCAACAAAUAUUUUUACUAUUAGUCACUAUUGGUUCUUUUUUGUCAAAUAAUCUUUUUUAGAGACAAGAUGAAAAGGAGGCAACCUCCAUUAACAAGCUCUGGAGUCAGGCGGAGGGCCCGCUUAUCAGGGGUCAAUGGGAAAAAGUGCUUCAAAGAAAUGGGCACAAGAAGUCUGUUGAUCAGGGCUGUAAGGAAGCCAACCAAGCUGCUAGCAGUGCUCCAGACAGUGAGAUCGACUCAUACGCUAUCAGAUGGUUUAACUUGGCAUCUGACUGGGGAGGUGGCCGCAAAGACCAUGCCAAGGCUAAAGAGACAUUAACCACGGCAUCACAACAUUCCACCGAGCAGCAGUGGCUGACUUCAUAAAGCUAAAGAAGUGGCAUGAGGAAGUGGAAGUGACAGCAGGCAGUGGGAGAGGUCACAUGGGUGGAGAUAUGUUUGGGAUUCAGUUAAACUUAAUUAUUUUAAGUUUUGUUGUUUUUUUUGUUUGUUUUUUUGGGGGGGGGGGGUGGGGGUCACAGUUAGUUUGGUUGUGAAUAAUGUUGGUUCAAAUCUUUGUUGCUAUUAAGGUUAAGGUUGUUAGUUAAUUGUUUAUUCCUGCCAACCCGGUUGAGUUCAUUAUGCUGUUUUACUUUUCUCGAGUGAUCUUUGUAUUUUGAAUUUGAAUUUUAAGAUUAAAUUAAAUUGUAAAUAAAUAACAAUGUUUUAUGCUACACACCUGGUGUUCUUG
Thunnus maccoyii (southern bluefin tuna) is the source of this 4520-nucleotide long non-coding RNA. RefSeq lists it as uncharacterized. The transcript has 5 exons. The record is from RefSeq and is a predicted model, not a curated record. NCBI's taxonomy places the organism in Eukaryota, Metazoa, Chordata, Actinopteri, Scombriformes, Scombridae.